AGAGUUUGAUCAUGGCUCAGGAUGAACGCUGGCGGCGUGCCUAACACAUGCAAGUCGAGCGAUUUACUUCGGUAAAGAGCGGCGGACGGGUGAGUAACGCGUGGGUAACCUGCCCUGUACACACGGAUAACAUACCGAAAGGUAUGCUAAUACAAGAUAAAAUGUAUUUAUCGCAUGAUAGAUAUAUCAAAGCGUUAGCAGUACAGGAUGGACCCGCGUCUGAUUAGCUAGUUGGUAAGGUAACGGCUUACCAAGGCGACGAUCAGUAGCCGACCUGAGAGGGUGAUCGGCCACAUUGGAACUGAGACACGGUCCAAACUCCUACGGGAGGCAGCAGUGGGGAAUAUUGCACAAUGGGCGAAAGCCUGAUGCAGCAACGCCGCGUGAGCGAUGAAGGCCUUCGGGUCGUAAAGCUCUGUCCUCAAGGAAGAUAAUGACGGUACUUGAGGAGGAAGCCCCGG
RNAcentral lists this ribosomal RNA (461 nucleotides) under uncultured bacterium. RNAcentral's name for it is "bacterial SSU rRNA". It matches the Rfam family "Bacterial small subunit ribosomal RNA", at positions 8 to 496 of the family's 1533-position model. The record is from RNAcentral.